UAGGGGAAUCUUCCACAAUGGGCGAAAGCCUGAUGGAGCAACGCCGCGUGUGUGAUGAAGGGUUUCGGCUCGUAAAACACUGUUGUAAGAGAAGAAUGACAUUGAGAGUAACUGUUCAAUGUGUGACGGUAUCUUACCAGAAAGGAACGGCUAAAUACGUGCCAC
RNAcentral lists this ribosomal RNA (165 nucleotides) under uncultured bacterium. RNAcentral describes it as "partial 16S rRNA". It matches the Rfam family "Bacterial small subunit ribosomal RNA", at positions 354 to 511 of the family's 1533-position model. The record is from RNAcentral.